GGGAAAACAUAUUAAAACCACAGCGAUGUGCCGUUUCCUGCUUGGAAGAUUGGGUGAAAAUGAGAGAACAGUGAGAUUCUGCCAGGGUCUGGGGCAACUGGCAUUCUCAUCGGAAGAUGACUUGCAUUUCCCUCUGCUUUGGCCUUCUGUUGGUUUGGAUCAACCCAUGGAGGCACCAACAGGAUGGGAGAGUGAGAAGGAUGAUGGCAACCCCCAUCUCAUCAGCCCAGUCUCCUCUUAGGAACUCAUCUCGUAUCAAGGCAGAGAUGGCUGGCUCAGCGAGGUCCUGGCUCUUAUGCACGAGAGGCUGGACCAAGGUGGAGAGCCA
Molecule: long non-coding RNA, 328 nt
Organism: Globicephala melas (long-finned pilot whale)
Lineage: Eukaryota; Metazoa; Chordata; Mammalia; Artiodactyla; Delphinidae
Source: RefSeq, a predicted model, not a curated record